CUCGCGGACAGCGCGGCUGUGCGGGCGGAGAGCUGUCGCACAACCAGAACUGGACAGAGUAUUCCAGAAGAGGCCUCCCCAACAUCUUGUACAUCCCCAACAUAACGUCCCAACCCCUGUACUCCAAGGUCUGAACAAUCAAGAUCCCAGUGAUUAAUGCCAUCUCCCUGUCGCCUGGGGAGAGGGUGAUGUUUGACUUUCUUGUACAGCUGCAGUUUGUGUGGUGAAGGUGCUCCCACAAUGGGGUUGGGAUGAGGCUGUCACUGGCUCGGCCAGCAUUUAUUGCUGCGUUUACCCAGAGGGCAGUUAAGAGUCAACUGCGUUGCUAUAGGUCUGGAGUCCCAUGCAGACCAGACCAGAUACCAGUGAUCAGUGCCAAAGCCCCAUUGCCUGUGGAGAAGGUGAUGUUUGACUUCCUGUACAGCUGCAAUUCAUGUGGUGAAGGUGCUCCCACAAUGUGGUUGGUGUGCUAGACGGUGAAGAUUUGCAGACUGAAAUCUCAAACUCAUAUGCAGAUCCUGAUUAUGUUAACCAGCAUUUGAAGAACCAAAGAUAGAGAAUAACUUGGCCAAAAUUCUGCAACACUCUCGCUCACAGCAUUGUCGGUCUAUCUGCACCAAAUGGACUGCGAAUGAUUCAAGACAGCAGCUCACUACCAUCUUCUCAAGGGUAACUAGAGAUAGGGAAUAAAUGCUGGCCGAGCCAGUGAUGCCCAUAUUCUGGAAAUGGUUCCUAUCUCUAGUUGCUGAAACCCAGUUGAUGUUAGUGCAGGAUGAUGAGGGACGCUGAGUGCAUCCUCCAGAAGGCAUCGCCAUCACAUUACCCCUUCCUACACCCACACAGUAACACAGCAACGUUACUGGAACAAAAGGCAGUGAACCCAAAGGAGGACUUAGAUAUAGUUCUUCGAGGUAAAGUCAUGAAAGGGGAUUGGAACACAGCAGGAACAGGAGACUGAGCUGGAUGGUCAGCUGUUUCCCAUUGAAAGGUGGAGCAGGAUUGAAAGGCCGAAUGGCCGCCUCCUGCUGCUAUAUCCCAGGUAUGUAUAUAGCCACGGAGCCCGGGUAGGAAGGAGUGGGCAGGGAUUCUCCAGGAGAUUGCACUUCCACAUCAGUUUUCAGUGAGAGAUGGUAUGAUGGAUUUUAUUCAACAUUUAUCUUUAACACAAGGUUUGUGAGUUUAG
This is a long non-coding RNA of Hemiscyllium ocellatum (epaulette shark), 1183 nucleotides long. RefSeq lists it as uncharacterized. The transcript has 6 exons. The record is from RefSeq and is a predicted model, not a curated record. NCBI's taxonomy places the organism in Eukaryota, Metazoa, Chordata, Chondrichthyes, Orectolobiformes, Hemiscylliidae.